GCUGGCAUGGCGGAAUAGGCAGACGCAAGGGACUUAAAAUCCCUCGGGGGCGACCCCGUGCCGGUUCAAGUCCGGCUGCCAGCA
This 84-nucleotide transfer RNA is filed under the name Acetatifactor sp. Its description in RNAcentral is "tRNA-Leu". It matches the Rfam family "tRNA". From Rfam's summary of the family: Transfer RNA (tRNA) molecules are approximately 80 nucleotides in length. Their secondary structure includes four short double-helical elements and three loops (D, anti-codon, and T loops). Further hydrogen bonds mediate the characteristic L-shaped molecular structure. tRNAs have two regions of fundamental functional importance: the anti-codon, which is responsible for specific mRNA codon recognition, and the 3' end, to which the tRNAs corresponding amino acid is attached (by aminoacyl-tRNA synthetases). tRNAs cope with the degeneracy of the genetic code in two manners: having more than one tRNA (with a specific anti-codon) for a particular amino acid; and 'wobble' base-pairing, i.e. permitting non-standard base-pairing at the 3rd anti-codon position. The record is from RNAcentral. Lineage: Bacteria; Bacillati; Bacillota; Clostridia; Lachnospirales; Lachnospiraceae.